Molecule: ribosomal RNA, 775 nt
Filed under: uncultured Neocallimastigales
Lineage: Eukaryota; Fungi; Neocallimastigomycota; Neocallimastigomycetes; Neocallimastigales
Description: partial large subunit ribosomal RNA
Rfam family: Eukaryotic large subunit ribosomal RNA
Source: RNAcentral
CAUAGCGACUAUCGUGGCAUAUCAAUAAGCGGAGGAAAAGAAACUAACUAAGGAUUCCCUCAGUAACGGCGAGUGAAGCGGGAAGAGCUCAAAUUUGAAAUCUUCAAGGUUCUACCUUGACGAAUUGUAGUUUAAAGAAGUGUUUUCUGUUGGAGUUUUGGUAAAAGUUCUUUGGAAUAGGACAUCAUAGAGGGUGAGAAUCCCGUAUUUGACCAUUAUUUCCAGCUGUGUGAUACACUUUCAAAGAGUCGGAUUGUUUGGGAAUGCAGUCCAAAAUGGGUGGUAAAUUUCAUCUAAAGCUAAAUACUGGCGAGAGACCGAUAGCGAACAAGUACCGUGAGGGAAAGAUGAAAAGAACUUUGAAAAGAGAGUUAAACAGUACGUGAAAUUGUCAAAAGGGAAGCGUUUGACACCAGUGUUGUUUUCUCGAAAAUCAAUUAAAAAUGGUGGGAUUUUGUGUUGUAUUGACUUUAUCGGCUUUCUGCACUUUUUUCCUAUCUUUUUUAAUGCACUUUUCGUUUAACAAGUCAACAUCAAUUUCUUUUGCUGUAAAAGGGUCAUAGGAAGGUGGCUUUCUUUUCGGAGAAAGUGUUUAUAGCCUUUGACUUCUGCAGUCGGAGAGAUUGAGGUCUGCAGCGUAGAUCCUUCGGGGUUAGAUACAUUUGUGCUAAGCUAUAGCCUUUCAUAGACAACUUGUUGACUAUGAUCAGUCAUGUAGCCUACUCGCUUAUGCUAUUUUACCUACGCUUAGGAUGUUGAUAGUCACAGCGUGUAC